CAGCAGCCGCGGGAAUACGAAGGGUGCAAGCGUUACCCGGAUUUACUGGGCGUAAAGGGCGUGUAGGCGGCCUGGGGCGUCCCAUGUGAAAGGCCACGGCUCAACCGUGGAGGAGCGUGGGAUACGCUCAGGCUAGAGGGUGGGAGAGGGUGGUGGAAUUCCCGGAGUAGCGGUGAAAUGCGCAGAUACCGGGAGGAACGCCGAUGGCGAAGGCAGCCACCUGGUCCACUUCUGACGCUGAGGCGCGAAAGCGUGGGGAGCAAACCGGAUUAGAUACCCCGGUAGUCCCUGUCUCUUAUAU
This 301-nucleotide ribosomal RNA is filed under the name uncultured bacterium. RNAcentral describes it as "partial 16S ribosomal RNA". It matches the Rfam family "Bacterial small subunit ribosomal RNA", at positions 509 to 809 of the family's 1533-position model. The record is from RNAcentral.